GCUUACGGCCACACCACCCUGAGCGCCGCCCGAUCUCGUCUGAUCUCGGAAGCUAAGCAGGGUCGGGCCUGGUUAGUACUUGGAUGGGAGACCGCCUGGGAAUACCAGGUGCCGUAAGCU
Molecule: ribosomal RNA, 120 nt
Filed under: Lates calcarifer (barramundi perch)
Lineage: Eukaryota; Metazoa; Chordata; Actinopteri; Centropomidae
Source: RNAcentral